UACGGAGGGUGCAAGCGUUAAUCGGAAUUACUGGGCGUAAAGCGUGCGCAGGCGGUUUGUUAAGUCUGCUGUGAAAUCCCCGAGCUCAACUUGGGAAUUGCAGUGGAUACUGGCAAGCUGGAGUACGGUAGAGGAAGGUGGAAUUCCCGGUGUAGCAGUGAAAUGCGCAGAUAUCAGGAGGAACACCAAUGGCGAAGGCAGCUCGCUGGGACGGUACUGACGCUGAGACGCGAAAGCGUGGGGAGCAAACAGG
Molecule: ribosomal RNA, 253 nt
Filed under: uncultured bacterium
Lineage: Bacteria
Description: partial 16S ribosomal RNA
Rfam family: Bacterial small subunit ribosomal RNA
Source: RNAcentral